CAACAAUAGCUACUUAGCAUUAUGAUUUCGGCUCAUAAAGAGAAUUACUAUUCAUUGUUGU
This 61-nucleotide transfer RNA is filed under the name Dinobdella ferox. Its description in RNAcentral is "tRNA-Arg". Lineage: Eukaryota; Metazoa; Annelida; Clitellata; Hirudinida; Hirudinidae. The record is from RNAcentral.